AGGUUUUCGGACCUAGAGACCGGCGCACGGGUGCGUAACGCGUAUGCAAUCUACCUUUUACAGAGGGAUAGCCCAGAGAAAUUUGGAUUAAUACCUCAUAGUAUUAUUGAAUGGCAUCAUUUAAUAAUUAAAGUCACAACGGUAAAAGAUGAGCAUGCGUCCCAUUAGCUAGUUGGUAAGGUAACGGCUUACCAAGGCAACGAUGGGUAGGGGCCCUGAGAGGGAGAUCCCCCACACUGGUACUGAGACACGGACCAGACUCCUACGGGAGGCAGCAGUGAGGAAUAUUGGUCAAUGGGCGCAAGCCUGAACCAGCCAUGCCGCGUGCAGGAUGACGGUCCUAUGGAUUGUAAACUGCUUUUGUACAGGAAGAAACAGUUCUACGUGUAGAACCUUGACGGUACUGUAAGAAUAAGGAUCGGCUAACUCCGUGCCAGCAGCCGCGGUAAUACGGAAGAUCCAAGCGUUAUCCGGAAUCAUUGGGUUUAAAGGGUCCGUAGGCGGUUUUGUAAGUCAGUGGUGAAAGCCCAUCGCUCAACGGUGGAACGGCCAUUGAUACUGCAAGACUUGAAUUAUUAGGAAGUAACUAGAAUAUGUAGUGUAGCGGUGAAAUGCUUAGAGAUUACAUGGAAUACCAAUUGCGAAGGCGGGUUACUACUAAUUGAUUGACGCUGAUGGACGAAAGCGUGGGGAGCGAACAGGAUUAGAUACCCUGGUAGUCCACGCCGUAAACCAUGGAUACUAGCUGUUCCGAGCAAUCUGAGUGGCU
This 769-nucleotide ribosomal RNA is filed under the name uncultured bacterium. RNAcentral describes it as "bacterial SSU rRNA". It matches the Rfam family "Bacterial small subunit ribosomal RNA", at positions 74 to 848 of the family's 1533-position model. The record is from RNAcentral.